This 262-nucleotide ribosomal RNA is filed under the name uncultured bacterium. Its description in RNAcentral is "partial 16S ribosomal RNA". It matches the Rfam family "Bacterial small subunit ribosomal RNA", at positions 515 to 776 of the family's 1533-position model. The record is from RNAcentral.
CCGCGGUAAUACGAAGGGGGCUAGCGUUGUUCGGAUUUACUGGGCGUAAAGCGCGCGUAGGCGGAUUGGUCAGUUAGGGGUGAAAGCCCGGAGCUCAACUCCGGAACUGCCCUUAAUACUGCCAGUCUAGAGUCCGGAAGAGGUAAGUGGAACUCCUAGUGUAGAGGUGGAAUUCGUAGAUAUUAGGAAGAACACCAGUGGCGAAGGCGGCUUACUGGUCCGGCACUGACGCUGAGGCGCGAAAGCGUGGGGAGCAAACAGG